This 424-nucleotide ribosomal RNA is filed under the name uncultured bacterium. Its description in RNAcentral is "partial 16S ribosomal RNA". It matches the Rfam family "Bacterial small subunit ribosomal RNA", at positions 359 to 776 of the family's 1533-position model. The record is from RNAcentral.
UAUUUUGGACAAUUGGCGCAAGCCUGAUUCAUCGAUGCCGCGUGAGUGAAGAAGGCUUUCGGUCUGUCCAGCUCUUUCGGAAGGAAAGAAAUCGCGCAGACCAAUAUCCUGAGAGGCUGCCGAUACCGUCAUAACAAGCCCCGGCUAACUAAGUGACAGCAGCCGCGGUAAUACGUAGGGUGCGAGUGUUAAUCGGAAUUACUGGGCGUAAAGCGUGCGCAGGCGGUUGAUUAAGACAGGCGUGAAAUCCCCGGGCUUAGCCUGGGAACUGAGCUUGUGACUGGUCAGCUAGAGUACAGCAGAGGGGGGUGGAAUUCCACGUGUAGCAGUGAAAUGCGUAGAGAUGUGGAGGAACACCGAUGGCGAAGGCAGCCCCCUGGACCGAUACUGACGCUCAUGCACGAAAGCGUGGGUAGCAAACAGA